This 318-nucleotide ribosomal RNA is filed under the name Vibrio alginolyticus. Its description in RNAcentral is "bacterial SSU rRNA". It matches the Rfam family "Bacterial small subunit ribosomal RNA", at positions 1 to 305 of the family's 1533-position model. The record is from RNAcentral. Lineage: Bacteria; Pseudomonadati; Pseudomonadota; Gammaproteobacteria; Vibrionales; Vibrionaceae.
AAAUUGAAGAGUUUGAUCAUGGCUCAGAUUGAACGCUGGCGGCAGGCCUAACACAUGCAAGUCGAGCGGAAACGAGUUAUCUGAACCUUCGGGGAACGAUAACGGCGUCGAGCGGCGGACGGGUGAGUAAUGCCUAGGAAAUUGCCCUGAUGUGGGGGAUAACCAUUGGAAACGAUGGCUAAUACCGCAUAACGCCUACGGGCCAAAGAGGGGGACCUUCGGGCCUCUCGCGUCAGGAUAUGCCUAGGUGGGAUUAGCUAGUUGGUGAGGUAAGGGCUCACCAAGGCGACGAUCCCUAGCUGGUCUGAGAGGAUGAUC